AACCCGGUGGUGUAAUAGGUAACACAGCAGGUUUUGGUCCUGCCGUUCAAGGUUCGAGUCCUUGCCGGGUUAC
RNAcentral lists this transfer RNA (73 nucleotides) under Planctomycetaceae bacterium. RNAcentral describes it as "tRNA-Gln". It matches the Rfam family "tRNA". From Rfam's summary of the family: Transfer RNA (tRNA) molecules are approximately 80 nucleotides in length. Lineage: Bacteria; Pseudomonadati; Planctomycetota; Planctomycetia; Planctomycetales; Planctomycetaceae. The record is from RNAcentral.